CACACUCCAAGCACUGCUUGAUGUUGGGCGAUGCGGCACCCUUCAGCGGGGGCUGCACGCCUGGAACGCGUGGGCGCCCGCUGCCGGACCGCGAACGUAGCAAGACAACUCGUCAAGUCGUUCUGCGGGCUCCGACGGGGGGCAGCCUCAUAAACCAUUUUAUAUCCA
Molecule: unclassified non-coding RNA, 168 nt
Filed under: uncultured Melnikomyces
Lineage: Eukaryota; Fungi; Ascomycota; Eurotiomycetes; Chaetothyriales
Description: sequence contains ITS2
Source: RNAcentral